Molecule: ribosomal RNA, 400 nt
Filed under: uncultured bacterium
Lineage: Bacteria
Description: bacterial SSU rRNA
Rfam family: Bacterial small subunit ribosomal RNA
Source: RNAcentral
UGGGGAAUUUUGGACAAUGGGGGAAACCCUGAUCCAGCCAUGCCGCGUGAGUGAAGAAGGCCUUCGGGUUGUAAAGCUCUUUCAGUCGGAAAGAAAAGGCUCCGGAUAAUACCUGGAGUUGAUGACGGUACCGACAGAAGAAGCACCGGCUAACUACGUGCCAGCAGCCGCGGUAAUACGUAGGGUGCGAGCGUUAAUCGGAAUUACUGGGCGUAAAGCGUGCGCAGGCGGUUGCAUAAGACAGAUGUGAAAUCCCCGGGCUCAACCUGGGAACUGCGUUUGUGACUGUGCGACUGGAGUACGGUAGAGGGGGGUGGAAUUCCUGGUGUAGCAGUGAAAUGCGUAGAUAUCAGGAGGAACAUCGAUGGCGAAGGCAGCCCCCUGGACCUGUACUGACGCU